GAUGAACGCUGGCGGCGUGCCUAAUACAUGCAAGUCGAGCGAACAGACGAGGAGCUUGCUCCUCUGACGUUAGCGGCGGACGGGUGAGUAACACGUGGAUAACCUACCUAUAAGACUGGGAUAACUUCGGGAAACCGGAGCUAAUACCGGAUAAUAUAUUGAACCGCAUGGUUCGAUAGUGAAAGACGGUUUUGCUGUCACUUAUAGAUGGAUCCGCGCCGCAUUAGCUAGUUGGUAAGGUAACGGCUUACCAAGGCAACGAUGCGUAGCCGACCUGAGAGGGUGAUCGGCCACACUGGACCUGAGACCCGGUCCAGACUCCUACGGGAGGCAGCAGUAGGGAAUCUUCCGCAAUGGGCGAAAGCCUGACGGAGCAACGCCGCGUGAGUGAUGAAGGUCUUCGGAUCGUAAAACUCUGUUAUUAGGGAAGAACAAAUGUGUAAGUAACUAUGCACGUCUUGACGGUACCUAAUCAGAAAGCCACGGCUAACUACGU
RNAcentral lists this ribosomal RNA (496 nucleotides) under uncultured bacterium. RNAcentral describes it as "partial 16S ribosomal RNA". It matches the Rfam family "Bacterial small subunit ribosomal RNA", at positions 28 to 506 of the family's 1533-position model. The record is from RNAcentral.